Molecule: RNA transcript, 3529 nt
Organism: Peromyscus eremicus (cactus mouse)
Lineage: Eukaryota; Metazoa; Chordata; Mammalia; Rodentia; Cricetidae
Gene: Mroh8
Gene name: maestro heat like repeat family member 8
Exons: 25
Source: RefSeq, a predicted model, not a curated record
UUGCACGCUCCCCCUCCGCACCAACCCUUCGGGUCGGCAGCACUUCACCAGAACUCGCAGCCCUCCGUCCCACCUACGACCCCGAAAGCUCCCGAGCCCAUGCCCAUGCCCCUGCCCCGUAGGGGAGGGGAACAGCGCCUGGCCGGCGCCCGUGUGGUCCGCACUAGCCUCCCGCGGGCGACGCCCCGCUCCCCAAGGCGUGUCGGCCGCGGGGCCCCACUGUUGAGCCAUGCGCAACGUCUCACCCGGCGGCGCCAUUCCUCCGAGCAGGUCCCACCGGAGCCAGAGCAGGCAGACUUCCGCUCUGGGAAGUGGCUCCAAGAGCGCGCCGGAGGGGACGCCAGGGACCCACAGCACACGCCGCCUGCCAGGAUGGGCUCCCGGCAAAGGGUCGGUGGUACAGGAGUAGUGAUCCCUUAUGCUUCUGACAGUGACUCUGGAAGUGUAGAUCUACAGCUGAGCAACUUAGAAGACAUUCAAAAAGAUGUAACUAAUGUUGAAUUUACAGAUUCGGACAUCUCUGACAUCCCUGAACUCACUCAGGAGUCCCUUCCAGACAACCUCAGACCCCUCAAUCUCCAGCCACCCCUCAAUGAGGCCAGUGUUGAGAGGCUGGUCCAGUCCAUACAGGAGGUUUUACGUGGUGAGCUAAAGGGUGAACCUGAAAAGUUGAAGUUCCUAAGAUCUUUGUCUUCUUUGAGCCAAACCUUAGCUUAUGACGAAAGCACAGAGUCCUUUAUCCACCGUCACAUGGCAGAGAUAGUGCAUGUCCUAAGUGUGCUGGUACAAGAGGAGCCUCUGUACUCUCUGUCCAGCCUGGUGCGCCAGGAGCUCUUUGUCACCAUCACUGACCUCAGUUACCAAGAUGUGCACCUGUUGUUCGGCUCCGAGGACCGAGAAGACUUGCUUGGUCUUAUCACCAGAAGUAUACUCUCUCUGCCUGUUGUAAACACCUGUACCCAGCUGCCAAGCACAGUGCCAAAGCAGACCAGCCACCCAGAGUGUCUCUACAGACAGACGUUCCAGGCCUUCUCUGUGAUGCUGCAGAGUCUAGUGGUAAAAGACCCACAUUUGGAAAAUUUUGACAGCAUUUUUAAGCAAAUGGACCCCUGGUUACAGUCAAACAAAGACCAUGAGCGAGAACGAGCUACAACCAUCAUGGCCCAAGUCCUCAAGUGUUUAUCCUGUUAUCUCCACCUGAAGCUUCCACUGCAGUUCCAAAGGCUUGGACAUCUAGUGGCUGUGAUGGCACUGCUAUGUGGGGACCCAGUGAAAGAGGUGGCUGAAGACGCUGCAGAGGGGACCCAUUACCUGCUUCACAUCACUCUGAAGCUAAAGUAUAUCACUCAGGACAGACACAAUGCCAAGAGCUUGAGAGAAAUUUUGAAAAAGUGCAGGGAGCUGCUGGAGCACUAUAGCAUCAAACAGUUCUACUCCUGUCCCUUCAAGAUUGUCCAGGUCUUUGAAGUUUUCCUUGAUUCACAAGAGCUCGGCCAGUUUAUAAUGACUACGUUGGACAGCCUGAAAAGCCUACCCCAUCCCUGUACCCAGCAGAUAGCAGGAGAGUUGUUGAUAACUUUGGUGAGGUUUGCAGAGGCCCGAUUUGAGAAGGUGCCAGAAAUAAUAGGUGUUAUUUGUGCCCGGCUAUCAAUAAUCACCCUGCCUACUGUCCGGCAACAAAUCAUAAAUACUGUGAGUUUGUUUAUCUCCAGACCUAAGUAUACAGACAUAGUGCUCAACCAUCUUCUAUGCCAUCCAGUGCCCUAUGACAGGCAUCUGGCUGAAUUGUGGAGAACCCUGGAGGUAGAGCUGUCCAACACGACCUGGGUCCUCUGGAGGCUCCUGAGAAGGCUGCAGAAAUGCCAUGAUGUGGCCACCCAGGAGAAGAUGGCCUAUGUGGCUGUUGCUGUAACAGAUGCCCUUUAUGAGGUGCUUUUGGGAAACAAAUUUCGAGCAGCUGCAUUCCGACUCUUUCCUCAGCUUUUGAUGACACUGCUCAUCCAGAUUCACCACAGCAUCGGCCUCACCAUGUCUGAUGUCAACAUUCCAAGUGGCCUGUAUGCAGAACAGGGGAUACCAAUGGAGGUCUCACCUUUGUGCUUCGCCAUGCAAGCUACAAAGACUCUCCUCCUCAGAACAUCAUGCUGGCAGGAAUUCAGCAUCAUGGAAAAGAAUAAUGGAUGGACUCUUCUGAAGGGAGAAUGCCAUCUUCAGGGAGUAUUCCUCCUUGCCAAUUCCUUGCUGGAAAGAAGUCACUUCUUUGCAUAUAAGAUCAUGUACUUGUUAGUCCCUUUGAUUAACCGAGGGAAUGAUAAACACAGACUCACAUCUGCAGGCUUUUUUGUAGAGCUCUUAAAGAGUCCAAUGGCCAGGAGAUUGCCCAGGUUAUACUCCACUGCCCGCCUGAAAGACUGGCUGUAUGAAGAGAAUAAGCUCUUCAGGAUUCUUGCACUGAGGGGACUACACAAUCUUGUCAGACACCGUGAGAUGAGAGAAGACAUCAAAGGCGCAAUACCAUGCAUCUUAGAUAGCUUACAGGAGACUGAUGAGAGGAUCGUUCUGUUGGCCAUCCAGAUACUGAUGAAGCUUGUCAAGACACUAGACUCUACCACCUUGGCUACCCUGAUGAAGAUCCUGUUCUCCUUAUUUGGUGAUGUGAGACAUGGCAUCCAUCGUUUCUCCAUGACUCUCUUUGGAGCCUCCAUAAAGGCUGUGAGACACACAGAUAAGAAGUGUGUGGAGAGCCACGUCCUGGAGAGCUUGGUCCCACUGCUUCUGUUUUCUCAGGACGACAGUGAUGAAAUAGCUAAGGAGAGUAGACAAGUGCUAACUAUAUGUGCCCAGUUCCUGAAAUGGAAGCUGCCCCGAGAAGUGUACUGCAAAGAUCCCCUAUACAUCAAACCACAUGAAGUCAGAAGGGUCUGCAAAUUCUUUGGAGAAAAAAGCAAGGGGAAAAUAAACAUCCUAGACCAAACACUAAUGUAUUCCAAGGAUCCAAAACUUCCCAUCAGAAGAACAGCUGUCUUGUUUAUAGGGAUCUUAUCAAAGUAUGUGGAUCCCAGUGAGCUCAAGAUGAAGGGUAUUGACUGGAUAGAGAACGAUCUGAGAGAACUGUUACACGACCCUGAGCCCUCUUUGCGGAUCAUCGCCUCCCAGGCUCUGUUCCGAAUCCAGAGGGUGUGGAAUGAGUCAGAAUCCCAGAUAAGAGUUUCCUGGUUGAGGAAGCUCUGUGGCUGUCUUCAUACUUAGAAUGCAAAGCACAUGACAGCAGAUGGAGAGAAACUGAGGAGACAAACAUGAAAUUAAAAUUCAUAGAAGUACACGCUGAGAGACAAAGGACUGCUGAUUCCUGAACUACCUCAGAAGGUGGGAACUUUUAUAAGUGCCUCCUAGUGAUAAUAAUAGUGAUAAUACUAACACGUGUAUUAAAUCUUGAUAGCUCUGUUAUUUUUAUAUAAAGCUGUCCUUAGAAACAGGUUAAUGUUUUUAUUGAUUUUUUUAAAAAAUGUAUGAAACAAAAAGGUCUAGG